AACUCACGGGGGGGAAUCACGUGACUUUGUAUAGUAAUACCCGAGAGAAAAUGGCGACUGCUGAGCCCCGUAUCUGCAAUUUGGACCAAAAACGCAAAGGAGAAGACAUUCGCCAUAUCACAUUGAUAUUUAAUGCCAUCAUAGAACUGUAAAAUGAGGGCCAAGACACACCUGAAACUGCAGAGGUCAAA
This is a long non-coding RNA of Ruditapes philippinarum (Manila clam), 191 nucleotides long. RefSeq lists it as uncharacterized. The record is from RefSeq and is a predicted model, not a curated record. Lineage: Eukaryota; Metazoa; Mollusca; Bivalvia; Venerida; Veneridae. The transcript has 3 exons.